UACGGAGGACGCGAGCGUUAUCCGGAUUUAUUGGGUUUAAAGGGUGCGUAGGCGGAUCGUUAAGUCAGUGGUCAAAUUGAGGGGCUCAACCCCUUCCCGCCAUUGAAACUGGCGCUCUUGAGUGGAAGAGAAGUAUGCGGAAUGCGUGGUGUAGCGGUGAAAUGCAUAGAUAUCACGCAGAACCCCGAUUGCGAAGGCAGCAUGCCGGCUUCCGACUGACGCUGAAGCACGAAAGCGUGGGGAUCGAACAGG
Molecule: ribosomal RNA, 252 nt
Filed under: uncultured bacterium
Lineage: Bacteria
Description: partial 16S ribosomal RNA
Rfam family: Bacterial small subunit ribosomal RNA
Source: RNAcentral